CGGCGGACGGGUGAGUAAUGCCUAGGAAUCUGCCUGGUAGUGGGGGACGAACGUUUCGAAAGGAACGCUAAUACCGCAUACGUCCUACGGGAGAAAGCAGGGACCUUCGGGCCUUGCGCUAUCAGAUGAGCCUAGGUCGGAUUAGCUAGUUGGUGAGGUAAUGGCUCACCAAGGCGACGAUCCGUAACUGGUCUGAGAGGAUGAUCAGUCACACUGGAACUGAGACACGGUCCAGACUCCUACGGGAGGCAGCAGUC
This 257-nucleotide ribosomal RNA is filed under the name uncultured Pseudomonas sp. RNAcentral's name for it is "partial 16S ribosomal RNA". It matches the Rfam family "Bacterial small subunit ribosomal RNA", at positions 96 to 355 of the family's 1533-position model. The record is from RNAcentral. Lineage: Bacteria; Pseudomonadati; Pseudomonadota; Gammaproteobacteria; Pseudomonadales; Pseudomonadaceae.